AUGACUUUGAUCUGCGUCCUCAUCUGGACUCUCCUCUGCUGCUGUUUCACAGAGUCCAGAGGACAGUACACUCUGACUCAGCCUGGAGCAGUGAGGUCUGCUCCGGGAGGCUCCGUCUCCAUCAGCUGUAGGACCAGUCAGGAUGUUCAUGGUGGGAGCUAUUUAGCCUGGUACCAACAGAGAGAUGGAGGAACUCCUAAACUGCUCAUUUACCUUGCUAGCAGUCGUCAGUCAGGGAUUCCAGGUCGUUUUACUGGCAGUGGAUCAAACUCUGACUUCACUCUGACCAUCAGUGGAGUUCAGACUGAAGAUGCAGCAGUUUACUACUGUCAGAGUCUUCACUAUCCCAACAGUCAGUGGGUGUUCACACAGUGAAAAAGGGUCGUACAAAAACCUCCCUCAGUCAGACUGAACAGAAACUGAACUGACUGCUGCAGCUGGAAGCUACUGCAGAGACUGACACACUUCACUAGACAAACACUGUACACA
Centropristis striata (black sea bass) is the source of this 489-nucleotide non-coding RNA. Lineage: Eukaryota; Metazoa; Chordata; Actinopteri; Perciformes; Serranidae. The record is from the annotation of a RefSeq genome assembly.